RNAcentral lists this ribosomal RNA (432 nucleotides) under uncultured bacterium. RNAcentral's name for it is "partial 16S ribosomal RNA". It matches the Rfam family "Bacterial small subunit ribosomal RNA", at positions 29 to 506 of the family's 1533-position model. The record is from RNAcentral.
AACGAACGCUGGCGGCAUGCCUAACACAUGCAAGUCGAACGAGACCUUCGGGUCUAGUGGCGCACGGGUGCGUAACGCGUGGGAACCUGCCCUUAGGUUCGGAAUAACUCCCCGAAAGGGGUGCUAAUACCGGAUAAUGUCUUCGGACCAAAGAUUUAUCGCCUUUGGAUGGGCCCGCGUUGGAUUAGCUAGUUGGUAGGGUAAAAGCCUACCAAGGCGACGAUCCAUAGCUGGCCUGAGAGGAUGAUCAGCCACACUGGGACUGAGACACGGCCCAGACUCCUACGGGAGGCAGCAGUGGGGAAUAUUGGACAAUGGGCGAAAGCCUGAUCCAGCAAUGCCGCGUGAGUGAUGAAGGCCUUAGGGUUGUAAAGCUCUUUUACCCGGGAUGAUAAUGACAGUACCGGGAGAAUAAGCUCCGGCUAACUCCGU